CGCCGACGUCGCCAUUCGCAUUCUGCGGCGCCAAUCGAUAGGGGUCAGCGAGUGGCUGGGAUGGCGUCGUCGGCGUCCGCGCCAGCGUCCACGGGCCCGCGCUACGCCCCGCCGGAUCCGACGCUGCCCAAGCCGUGGAGGGGGCUAAUCGACGGCAACACGGGGUACCUCUACUUCUGGAACCCGGAGACAAAGGUUACGCAGUACGAGCGUCCCGUCGCUGCCGUGCCCGCCCCCCAAUCGCAGCCGCUUGUCUACUCCAGGCCCGAUGAUGUGCCGAGAAGCAGCGCACCUGCCGAGCAGCGCUCGGAAGCUGCGGUGAGCCGCCCGCAAUUUGUGCCUCCCUCCGAUAACAGGACAAGGAUUGAUCACUCAGAGGUACACUGUUUUUCUCUCUUUACUUCGUUAUCAAUUGCGUGUUUCUUUGAAAUGAAGCGGGGUAAACCUUUGCUCUAAAAACAAAGAGCUACAUAUUAGUUAAGGUCAGUUCAUAUCAUAGUGAUGACCUUUUCUUGGUUAAUCACUAUUUAUCAUGAUAGGUAGUUUUUUAUUCAGCAUCCUGCUGAAGCCGCAUGCACAAUGUGCCUAGUUACCUGUACAUUCAAUAAUAAUUUUUGUAUUCAUAGGACAUUGCUGCUUCAUAAUUUCAGGAAGAUACAAUAGUACUGUAGUAGUAAUACUGCAUCAAAGAAUCAAAAUAUGAUCUUAAAAGAGCAUAUUAGGUGAUGUGCAUUUAUUGCUCCGCUCAUGGCUCAUAACAUGCUACCCUGUUUUCAGUCAAGCUCUGCAUCUGGAGUGAACCUUUCACAAAGUGCUCUGUCCACCAAUCAAGUUUCUCAGUAUGCCAAUGGGAGCCAAAUGUCAACAGAAGCAUAUCGUGCCAAGCAUGAGAUUACUAUCGUCGGCAAUGAGGCACCUGCACCAUUCAUGACAUUUCAAUCCACAGGCUUCCCAUCAGAGAUUCUAAGGGAGGUUCUGCAAGCAGGAUUCUCUGCACCAACUCCUAUCCAAGCUCAAUCAUGGCCAAUUGCUCUAAGGGGUCGUGAUAUAGUAGCUGUGGCGAAGACAGGGAAUUGGCGACACAAAUUCAAGAUGAAGCAAUCAAGUUUGGCAGAUCUUCAAGAAUAUCUUCUACUUGCUUAUAUGGAGGUGCUCCAAAAGGCCCUCAGCUAAGAGAGUUGGAGCGUGGUGCUGACAUUGUUGUCGCAACUCCUGGGAGAUUAAAUGACAUUUUGGAAAUGAAUAGAGUGAGCCUGCACCAAGUAUCAUAUCUUGUCCUUGAUGAAGCCGACCGUAUGCUUGAUAUGGGAUUUGAGCCACAAAUAAGGAAAAUUGUGAAACAAAUACCACCGAAACGGCAAACUCUUAUGUAUACUGCCACAUGGCCAAGAGAGGUUAGAAAAAUAGCGUCUGAUUUACUGGCUAACCCAGUUCAAGUUAACAUUGGAAACACUGAUCAGCUAGUUGCAAAUAAGUCAAUUACACAGCAUGUGGAAGUUAUCCCACAUAUGGAGAAAUCAAGACGACUUGAUCAGAUCUUGCGCUCACAAGAUCCUGGAUCAAAAAGCAUAAUAUUUUGCUCCACUAAGAGGAUGUGUGAUCAGUUAGCUCGAAACCUAUCACGGCAGUAUCGUGCUUCUGCUAUUCAUGGUGAUAAAUCACAGGCUGAGAGGGAUUCUGUGUUGAAUGACUUUCGAAGCGGCAGGUGUCCAGUACUUGUAGCCACUGAUGUGGCCGCUCGAGGCUUGGACAUAAAGGACAUCAGGGUCGUGGUUAACUAUGAUUUCCCAACUGGUGUGGAGGACUAUGUCCAUAGAAUUGGGAGGACAGGUAGGGCUGGUGCAACAGGAUCUGCCUACACAUUCUUCGGUGACCAGGAUUCAAAGUACGCUUCAGACCUUGUGAAGAUUUUGGAGGGUGCAAACCAAUCUGUGCCGCCACAGUUGAAAGAAAUGGCUCUUCGUGGAGGAUAUGGUGGAAGAUCACGUCGGUGGGCAUCUUCUGAUGACUCUUAUGGUGGUCAGGGAUAUGGUGCUAAAAGAUCAACUGAUAGCUUCAAUAAUAACAACUUCGGCAACCAGGCUGGAGGUGGUUCAAGCUUUCACUCGAGCUCCAGUGGCGGUCAGUUUGGUGAUACUACGAGCUUCCAUGGCAGUGUCCGCAACAAUCAGACGGGGGACAAUGCGAGCUUUCCACCCAGCUCCAGCAACAAUCAGGCUGGCGAUGGUCUCAGUUUUCAUGAAAGGUUCUAUGGAUCACGUGGAAGGGACCAGAGCAGAACAAGCAAUGAUGGAUUCCGUGCCAGGAGCAGAAGUCCUCCUGGCAAGCCCGUGGAAGUUUCCAACUGGUGAUUGCAUCCACUAGGUGCAAUCCAAUUUUUGCGAUGGUGACGAAACCAAGUAGAAGAUGGCACCCUAACAAGUUAUAUUAUUUCCUUUUCUUAUCCUGCUUAGAUCCAAGGAUGUGAUGGUCUGAACCCUAACGGUCUCCUGCUAUCUUGAUUUGACGUCUGGGAGACGCUUGAUUCCGUGCCUGUGGGUUGUAAAGCGUUAAAACUUGACUUUGCUAGUGUACUCCCAAUGAUAUAACCCAAUCCUGGGUAAACAAACGCAUGGGGAUGAAUUUUGGACGAAACCAUGGACAACUGAUGUGUGUUUAAUGUCAUGUACAAUCUAUGUCGAAGGCUGUUGUAAAUGCCGUCCGCAUAGUUUAUAUUGAGAUGAGUGUCUGUUA
RNA transcript from Zea mays, 2733 nucleotides. It is a transcript of the gene named DEAD-box ATP-dependent RNA helicase pseudogene, with no coding region annotated. The transcript has 13 exons. The record is from RefSeq and is marked validated. Lineage: Eukaryota; Viridiplantae; Streptophyta; Magnoliopsida; Poales; Poaceae.